Molecule: ribosomal RNA, 256 nt
Filed under: uncultured bacterium
Lineage: Bacteria
Description: partial 16S ribosomal RNA
Rfam family: Bacterial small subunit ribosomal RNA
Source: RNAcentral
UACGAAGGGGCUAGCGUUGCUCGGAAUCACUGGGCGUAAAGCGCACGUAGGCGGAUUGUUAAGUCGGGGGUGAAAUCCUGGAGCUCAACUCCAGAACUGCCUUCGAUACUGCGGGUCUCGAGUCCGGGAGAGGUGAGUGGAAUUCCGUAGUGUAGAGGUGAAAUUCGUAGAUAUUAGGAAGAACACCAGUGGCGAAGGCGGCUCACUGGCCCGGUACUGACGCUGAGGCGCGAAAGCGUGGGAGCAACAGGAUAAG